RNAcentral lists this ribosomal RNA (253 nucleotides) under uncultured bacterium. RNAcentral describes it as "partial 16S ribosomal RNA". It matches the Rfam family "Bacterial small subunit ribosomal RNA", at positions 524 to 776 of the family's 1533-position model. The record is from RNAcentral.
UACAGAGGUCCCAAGCGUUGUUCGGAUUCACUGGGCGUAAAGGGUGCGUAGGCGGUCUGGUAAGUCUGACGUGAAAUCUCCGGGCCUAACCCGGAAACUGCGUCGGAUACUAUCCGGCUAGAGGAUUGGAAGGGAGACUGGAAUACUUGGUGUAGCAGUGAAAUGCGUAGAUAUCAAGUGGAACACCAGUGGCGAAGGCGAGUCUCUGGACAAUUCCUGACGCUGAGGCACGAAAGCCGGGGGAGCAAACGGG